GACGAACGCUGGCGGCGUGCUUAACACAUGCAAGUCGAACGGAAAGGCCCUGCUUUUGUGGGGUGCUCGAGUGGCGAACGGGUGAGUAACACGUGAGUAACCUGCCCUUGACUUUGGGAUAACUUCAGGAAACUGGGGCUAAUACCGGAUAGGAGCUCCUGCUGCAUGGUGGGGGUUGGAAAGUUUCGGCGGUUGGGGAUGGACUCGCGGCUUAUCAGCUUGUUGGUGGGGUAGUGGCUUACCAAGGCUUUGACGGGUAGCCGGCCUGAGAGGGUGACCGGCCACAUUGGGACUGAGAUACGGCCCAGACUCCUACGGGAGGCAGCAGUGGGGAAUAUUGCACAAUGGGCGGAAGCCUGAUGCAGCAACGCCGCGUGCGGGAUGACGGCCUUCGGGUUGUAAACCGCUUUCGCCUGUGACGAAGCGUGAGUGACGGUAAUGGGUAAAGAAGCACCGGCUAACUACGUGCCAGCAGCCGCGGUGAUACGUAGGGUGCGAGCGUUGUCCGGAUUUAUUGGGCGUAAAGGGCUCGUAGGUGGUUGAUCGCGUCGGAAGUGUAAUCUUGGGGCUUAACCCUGAGCGUGCUUUCGAUACGGGUUGACUUGAGGAAGGUAGGGGAGAAUGGAAUUCCUGGUGGAGCGGUGGAAUGCGCAGAUAUCAGGAGGAACACCAGUGGCGAAGGCGGUUCUCUGGGCCUUUCCUGACGCUGAGGAGCGAAAGCGUGGGGAGCGAACAGGCUUAGAUACCCUGGUAGUCCACGCUGUAAACGGUGGGUACUAGGUGUGGGGUCCAUUCCACGGGUUCCGUGCCGUAGCUAACGCUUUAAGUACCCCGCCUGGGGAGUACGGCCGCAAGGCUAAAACUCAAAGGAAUUGACGGGGCCCCGCACAAGCGGCGGAGCAUGCGGAUUAAUUCGAUGCAACGCGUAGAACCUUACCUGGGUUUGACAUGGAUCGGGAGCGCUCAGAGAUGGGUGUGCCUCUUUUGGGGUCGGUUCACAGGUGGUGCAUGGCUGUCGUCAGCUCGUGUCGUGAGAUGUUGGGUUAAGUCCCGCAACGAGCGCAACCCUUGUUCACUGUUGCCAGCACGUUAUGGUGGGGACUCAGUGGAGACCGCCGGGGUCAACUCGGAGGAAGGUGGGGAUGACGUCAAGUCAUCAUGCCCCUUAUGUCCAGGGCUUCACGCAUGCUACAAUGGCUGGUACAGAGAGUGGCGAGCCUGUGAGGGCGAGCGAAUCUCGGAAAGCCGGUCUCAGUUCGGAUUGGGGUCUGCAACUCGACCUCAUGAAGUCGGAGUCGCUAAUAAUCGCAGAUCAGCAACGCUGCGGUGAAUACGUUCCCGGGGCU
Molecule: ribosomal RNA, 1346 nt
Filed under: uncultured bacterium
Lineage: Bacteria
Description: bacterial SSU rRNA
Rfam family: Bacterial small subunit ribosomal RNA
Source: RNAcentral